UACAGGGUAGCCUAGUGGACAUGGCAUCUGCCCGGUAAGCGGAACACUGUGGGUUCGAUUCUCAUCCCUUUUAU
This 74-nucleotide transfer RNA is filed under the name Cordylochernes scorpioides. RNAcentral's name for it is "tRNA-Thr". It matches the Rfam family "tRNA". Rfam says of the family: Transfer RNA (tRNA) molecules are approximately 80 nucleotides in length. Their secondary structure includes four short double-helical elements and three loops (D, anti-codon, and T loops). Lineage: Eukaryota; Metazoa; Arthropoda; Arachnida; Pseudoscorpiones; Chernetidae. The record is from RNAcentral.